AGUGACGUCAUGAGUCUUUCGUAGACUUAGGUCUACUUCCUCUCUCUCUACAUACAGCUUCCCCAGACUAACACUGUGCUGUAGCUUUGAAUUCUUCUUUUCUAUGUAUUGCAGCAAAGAAAACAUUGUGCAAUGUGACAUCUGUGUAGAGACUGUCGGAAUAAGGGAUGCAUUUAAAAUACAUAAACAACUGCAAGACAGAAGUUGGUAGCAUGAGCCUUCAUAGACUUGGGGCUACUGCCCCAGAGGGCCUUUGGUGGAGUGGGAAGUCCAGCACAAUCCGUGUGUGAGACUGUCCAUGGAGAUGCAGGCCCUUCUGGGUGUGGAGAGGCGGUGGCAGGUUUAGUCUUAAUGAUGGUGGUUGUGGGAGAGGCUCUUGCAUGAAGCCAAGGAGGGCAGGUAACCGUAUGGAUGAGCAUUGGACCGUAGUGUGGGAAGCAGAGGGGCAGGUGGUGAACUGGUCAAGGGCACUCCUGAGGAUGGGGCUGCUAGACAGUCUCAAAAUGUGUGCAGUGGGCCAGGAAACCAUUAUCUCUCUUCAACUCAUUGCUGAUGGACUGUAGUUUGUGGAUUACAUUCCAGUUCUGCUGUUUCUCUUUCCAGUCUUCCUUUGCACUUCUUUUGGUGAGGUCUGUGGUGCAGUGCCCAGGGAAAUUCAGGUCCUGUGAUGACAUGUCCUGUCAGAUGUGUAAGCAGAGCUGGUAUCUGGGUUUGUUGGAAUGCUUUGUACCUGUGUCCUCAUCUGUGUUGUCUGUCCUCCGGUAGGUAAGUAUUGUUCAGCUAAUAGCAUCUUCAUGUUCUCUACUCCACCCUCAUCAAUUAUGUUGUUGUCUUAUCUGAGUGUUUGUUAUGGGAUGGUCUCCUUUACACAUACAUGUACAGGCACACCUCUUUUAACAAAGCCUCUGAGCGUGAAGCCUUUUUAUACAAAGCCUUUCAAUGUCCCCUCAAACAUCUGUUUUCCCUUCUCAUCUUCUGUCUAUCUGGAAGUUUUCUUCUAGCUGCAUCAGCAAUGAGGAUAGUGAAGGAGGGCACAGACUUUUGGUGUUCAAUUGACGCAGCAUGUCUGCAGUAGACAAAACAAUAAAACGUUCACUAGGGGGAAAUGGGAUUCUAUUUUAGGGAAUCCAGGUGUUGUGAAUGCCUACCUAGGACAGGCAAGAUAAACAGCAACUGCUUCCAGAAGCCUUUGCUGAGCAUGCAUGACCAACAAAAUAGAGAAAAAAGGGAAGAGCAGAUAAACCUGCCUCAGUUUAGACCCAGUUUGUUAUAAAUAAGCAUAAACCCAUACGUUUGGCCAGCAAAAUGGAAAUCAUAAGAAAUAUGAUGAAAUAAAAAGUUAUCCCUGGAUGCAUUUUGGAAGAAGUCUUCAAGUAAUUUGCUUCAAGGCUUGCCUGACCUGGAUGUUUCAUUUCACAUGUGCAUAUUGUUAAUUUUGAAUAAAAUGGUUGCUGAAGCAUGUUGAA
Molecule: long non-coding RNA, 1466 nt
Organism: Sceloporus undulatus (fence lizard)
Lineage: Eukaryota; Metazoa; Chordata; Lepidosauria; Squamata; Phrynosomatidae
Exons: 2
Source: RefSeq, a predicted model, not a curated record